GAUGAACGCUAGCGACAGGCUUAACACAUGCAAGUCGAGGGGCAGCAUGGUCUUAGCUUGCUAAGGCCGAUGGCGACCGGCGCACGGGUGAGUAACACGUAUCCAACCUGCCGUCUACGCUUGGACAGCCUUCUGAAAGGAAGAUUAAAACAAAAUGGCAUCAUGAGUCCGCAUGUUCAAAUGAUUAAAGGUAUUCCGGUAGACGAUGGGGAUGCGUUCCAUUUGUUAGUGGGGGGGGUAACGGCCCACCUAGUCUUCGAUGGAGAGGGGUGCGGAGAGGAAGGUCCCCCGCAUUGGAACUGAGACACGGACCAAACUCCUACGGGAGGCAGCAGUAUGGUAGACUAGGCAAGGGGGGCUGGCCUGAACCAGCCAAGUAGCGUGAAGAAUGCCUGGGCUAUGGGUUGUAAUCUUCUUUUAUAAAGGAAUAAAGUCGGGUAUGUAUACCGGUUUGCAGGUACUUAAUGAAUAAGGACCGGCUAACUCCGUG
RNAcentral lists this ribosomal RNA (490 nucleotides) under uncultured bacterium. Its description in RNAcentral is "partial 16S ribosomal RNA". It matches the Rfam family "Bacterial small subunit ribosomal RNA", at positions 28 to 507 of the family's 1533-position model. The record is from RNAcentral.